RNAcentral lists this ribosomal RNA (460 nucleotides) under uncultured bacterium. Its description in RNAcentral is "partial 16S ribosomal RNA". It matches the Rfam family "Bacterial small subunit ribosomal RNA", at positions 338 to 795 of the family's 1533-position model. The record is from RNAcentral.
CCUACGGGAGGCAGCAGUGAGGAAUAUUGGUCAAUGGACGCAAGUCUGAACCAGCCAUGCCGCGUGCAGGAAGACGGCUCUAUGAGUUGUAAACUGCUUUUGUACGAGGGUAAACGCAGAUACGCGUAUCUGUCUGAAAGUAUCGUACGAAAUAGGAUCGGCUAACUCCGUGCCAGCAGCCGCGGUAAUACGGAGGAUUCAAGCGUUAUCCGGAUUUAUUGGGUUUAAAGGGUGCGUAGGCGGUCGGAUAAGUUAGAGGUGAAAUCCCGAGGCUCAACUUCGGAAUUGCCUCUGAUACUGUUCGGCUAGAGAGUAGUUGCGGUAGGCGGAAUGUAUGGUGUAGCGGUGAAAUGCUUAGAUAUCACGAAGAACCCCGAUUGCGAAGGCAGCCUGCCGCAGCGUUACUGACGCUGAAGCUCGAAAGCGCGGGUAUCGAACAGGAUUAGAUACCCCAGUAGUC